GUCUUCUUUUUAUUGCUUUUAAUUGGAUCAAUAUUGUCAGCUUAUUGUUAUUAAUGCAAUUAAAUUAUAUUAUAAUUAUAUAGAAAUAUAUUGAAUAUUUUAUAAUUUAUCGCAUCAUGCUUACAGGCAGAAACUCUCAACCCAUUCGACAAUACCAUAAAGAAUGGUCUCUUCUACAACCUAAACGAGGGAAAUACCGCUGAUGUUAGUACCUCACCUGGUAGCGGAGGUAAUAGCAUCGCGGACGAAUUGGCUGAUUUACGUAGGCAGGUUAUCUUUUUACAAGGUCAAGUGGAGGACAGAGAUCGAACUAUACAACUAUUGCAGUUCCAAAUGUCGAAACUUCAAGGACCUAACGGCGUCGACGGUCAAACGUGUGUUUUAACCAAUAACCAUAAGAAUAUUCCAUCCGCGAAUACGUGCAAUGCUGCUACGCAAACAGAGAAGACACGUCCAGUGUCAGCAGGACCUUCACUCUUACAAACACUCCCACAGGAUGGUGUUAUGGGGCCUCUAGUUAGCUUCAGGAUCGGGAAGGUAGAGUCCUUGGAGUGACUCCUAGGAUCGACACCGCCCUACAUCGCGCAUAGAGCUUAAUGUUAACAGAAGUACGUACAAUAAGAUCUCGUGAAGAAGAAACCUCGCAUCGUCGAAAUGGGCAUAGUUGUCAGUAAGAAGGACUUUAAAGUCCACUGAAGUCCACCGAGUCGAAACAAUAUGGAGCAACGCGAGAUAAGAACUGCUAAGAACGGAAGGGAGUCCCACGAAGUCAUGUUACAGUUAGAGAACUCGCAACUUGCAACAUCGACUUUCAUACCAUCACCGAGACCCUAAACCUCGACAGGCCGAUCGCACAACUCGUAAUUCAUGUAGGUGCGAAGUUACGUUCGACUUUCGUUUAUUUUUGUACUACCUUCUUUUAUUUCCGCGGGGAUGCUGCACAGUUAGCUCUACAAAAUCGAAUCGUUGCCUUUAAUUCGUAGAACGUGAUACGGGUUAAAUAAUUAAAUAAUUUUUUAAAUAUUAUAAUAAACACGAACGAUGCGAAAUUUCUUUUGCAAUCAUACAACGAGCAACAGAAAAACGUAAUGCUCUGAACAUUUGGUACACACGAAUAACAGAAAUAAUGUACAAAUAAUGUAUGGAUAGUUAAGGACAAUUCAUAAGUUCCUAUCUUUUCACGUUUAUGUUUCAUUUAAUUUUUAUGCUUCACGAAUCGCAGAACAUGAAAUCAUUUUUCAACAGGGUCAAUGAAUUCAUUUGAUUAUUAGCAAAACCUUUGUAAUUAGAUGUGAUCGUGUCACUCUGUUUAUGAACGCAUACUAAUGCAUUUUAUCAUAUUCUAUAAAUUGCAAAAGUUUUGCGAAGAAUCUACUCAUGUACUUCACUUCACAUGCUAGUUAGCUACAGCUAGCAACAUCUGUUUAUUUACAUUCCUUUAAAUUAACAGCGGUUGUUCUAUGAAAAUUUCUUUUUAGUAUUUUUAACCUUUUAACCACCAAUACUGCGAAAUGGAAACUUUGCUCUACGAAUGGAGAAAAAUGAUUAAUCUUAACACUUUACCAACCGGUACCAGUUCAACAUCCAAUGAAUAUUUUCGCUUGUCUUAUGCUCAGGUAAAUUUGUACGCUUUCUGUUAUUAUAGGAUAAUCAAAUUUAAUAAACUUUAUUCUUUUUAUUUUUGUAUUUUACUUUUUGUAUUCACCAUCAAGGCUAAAUUUGUUAAAAUUGUAUAAAAAUAUGGAAACUUACAGAGCGAGGCAACUAGUAUCUCAAUACAAAGUAACGAAUACUUGCUAAUUACCAUAGCAACCGAUUAAACAGUUACCAGUCGGUGAGCAUUAGAGACAAAAAGCUACUUAAUCAGCCACCAGUUGGUAAAGUGUUAAGAAUUAACCUUUGCUUGAACAUCACAGUUUCUAAAACAUCUUUUUAAUCUUUUAAUCCUUUUAGUUUAAACAGCACCAUGCUCUUCAACGACUCAAUCAUUUCUUUCUGAAUAAUUUUCUCUAUUCUCAGUAGCUUCGAGCCAACUUCUUGGCAACUUUUCAUUUUUAUACAUACUAUUAAAUACCACAUUUUAAUUUCAAUGUAUUAUUCUCUAUUUAAUGUACAAAUUUUUGACGAUAAGUAAUAUGUUUUAAUUAGUCCUGAUCCUAACAGUAAUGUACAGCUGUUCAGAUCAGAUCGUUCUUGUAAAUUUCUUUAUAAUUUAUGUUACUUGUAAUUUAUUCCAUCGCUGGCAUGUAAGAUUAUAUUUGGUGCUAUUAAUUCUUUCAGUUUGCAAUAUUUAGAUUCUCCUGAAUUAUAGAAUAUAUAAAAAUAUCGUAACUGCAAUGGCCAUUGGUUAUUUUUAAUGAAAAAUUCUUGAAAUUACGAUAUAGUUAUUUACAUAUCUUUAAACGAGACAAUAAGAACCAUUUUAAAUGGUCGGUGUAUCAAUGGAAGAAGGUAAAGAUAAAUUUAUAAUUUAUUCAAGAUAAAUCGAUAUCAGGAGAUACUAAAUAUCUUAUAUAUUGUAUAUUCUUUUUGUAUAAUCUUUAAUUUGUACAAUGGUAUAAUAAUAAAAUGGAGGAGAAUCGAGAGGAUAAAACAAUUUUUUAUAUGGACAAAUGUAGUAAUGAUAUUGAAUUUAGUGGGUCUCACCUUCGUAAUGUAACAGGCUGAUAUGUAUGUAUGUAUGUACAAGAGUGUACCGCAGGUAGAGAGAACCUCUUUAGGAUGACAGACUGAAUAUCAAGUAACGAUGUUACUUUGGAAAUAACUGGAAGGAUAUUUGAUGAUUUUCAUUAUUAAUAUUUCGGUUAUAACUGUUUAAAAAACAGUGUUGUCACAAAUUUUUAAUAAAAUUGACUUCAUUUAAAGAUUAUUUCACAUAUUCUUAUUUACUUUUGUUUAUUGUUGCAAAAUGUGAAACUUAAAUAUUUUUUAAUAAUGAAAAGUCUUCAAAUUAUAAAUAUUAAUCAUACAUUUUCUUUUUGUCUCUCGUCUUUCAAUUAUUAUGUUACAUCUCGAAAUUGAUUACACGUUUAAAGAAUAAGGUAAUUCUAUGAUAAAUUUAGUUUCUCGCAUAUGAUAUUUUUACUUGAGCAAAAAACAUUUUUCAGUUAAAACAUUGACAUUACCUUUUUCUGUAAUUAUUCUUGAUUAUUACCAUGUGCAGUUUCCUGCUGAAAAAAAUGCAAAAUUUGAAAAACUGUGCUCAUGUAUCUCUACUUACUUUUGCCAAAAAAUAGUUGAAUUCCUUAUUAGAAUUAAAUCUGCUUUUUCAAGAUAGAUAUACUUGAGCACAAUAAUUGAUAACAUUUGUAGAAUGUUUUAUGAGAUGCAAACAAGUUAUUCUUUAAAAUAUUAAUAUUUAUGCAACAAACAUACAAAUAUUAUAUAUAUAUUUAAAAUAUUCUAAAAUUAUUUUUGUGAUUAUAAUUGUGCACAAAUAUUUAUAUCCAUGCUUAAUUACUGUAUAAAAGUUAACGAACAACUUUCAGCAGGAUGCUCUUUCACACCCUUGUCGUGUCAACAGUUGAAUAAUGUGCAAUUCUUCAAAAUUGUUAUAAUGCUGAUGAAAUUAUUUGAUUAAUAUGGUGUACUAACAGAUUGUAAAGGAAUUCGCACAAAACGCAAGUUUAUUUGUUUCAGCUAGCUUUUUAAAUUAUAUUAAUGUUUUCGAUGCUUUAAUAUUGUAACCAUUUCUAAAAAUUUUGGUAACUUUAGAAUGAAUGAGAACAAAUUGUACUUAAGUAACGUGCAAUAUUUUUUUUGUGUUAGAUGAACAGAAUUAAGUUUCAACAAAGUAGCAAAUAUACCUGACUUGAGCAGUGAAUGAUAUAUGACUAAGCAAUUAUCAUUAUAAAUGCUGCUGUUCCUUGAACGUGUAGUACUGCAUUUAUAAAGUGUAAAAUCUUUUAACGAUAGGCACCUUUAAAUGGUUAAUAUUAAAAAAAAAACAUGGCAACCACAAGUCAACCUUGUAAAAUCUUAAUAAAAUACAGCUGGAUUAUCAGUCUUAUUUAACAUUUACAAAAUACUAAAUAUAAAUAAAAGCUUUCUCUUGUAAUUAAAUAGAAACACGGGUAAUUUAUGUCCUGUAUUAGAUAAACCUUACUUUAAUUUGUACAUUAUAUGUAUAAAUAUGUUGCCUCUGUGGUCCUAAAUGCGAUAGAAUAAUAAAUGAAGUUAUGUUUGA
This is a long non-coding RNA of Hylaeus anthracinus, 4186 nucleotides long. RefSeq lists it as uncharacterized. The record is from RefSeq and is a predicted model, not a curated record. NCBI's taxonomy places the organism in Eukaryota, Metazoa, Arthropoda, Insecta, Hymenoptera, Colletidae. The transcript has 6 exons.